AUGUAAAACAAACUUUUGUGUUUAUGGUAUGUUGUUCUAAGUAUGGAUGAUUAGAUGUACAUUCUGCUUGCAUUUCAAGAUGUUCAUUUAACAAGUCUUUUUGGACUCAUUUAAAUAAUAAAUGUAAUGUACACAUUAGUACAGCAGAGUCAUUUCCCCGAAUGUAAUAACUCUGAGAAUUAUUAUUUGCAUUCUAGUCAUACUCAGAGGCCUAUUCAGGAUAGGAGCCCCACUGUGGCAAAUGCUACCAGCCAUCCAAGCAGAUUAGGGGAACAGAUUUUUGUUUCCCUGAGAACCAUAGCGAUUUAGCAGAAUUUUUCAUGAGCUUGGCUCAUGUCCCUUCCCCCCCUCACUUCUGGGGUCUUCAGAGGUCCUAGGUCAUGUUGGCACUAAUGCUUCUCUGCUGAUGAGGAUCCCUGCCCGAGGUUUUCUGGGCAGGGAUGGUUUGCUGCCUGUUGGAGUGUGGUGUGAUGCCAAGCUUGGUGCCAGGAUGCGCACUGUUACACUUUGCUCUGUAGGGAGAGAAGACUCAUGAAGAUUUUACUGAGACAUAUAUAGCACUGGUGAGGGUGGAACCCCUGCUCCCAAGGCAGGGCCUGGGCCUGCUCCUAGGAGUUUGUAGGUCUAUGAGGUAAUAAUGGGGAACCUGGAGGUCCCACUCCCCCAUUCCUGAGCGGUGUAGCCAUAACUCUUGCAUUUGUCUGAGUCAGUUCACUCAGCCAACAUGUGAAAAUUCACUUCUCUUUCUACUGGAUUAGUUUGCUCAUGGCUUAACAAGCUAGAAAGACUCUUUCAGGAAUUGGAAGCAAAAUUGACAGAGAUGGAGAAGUCAACAAAGUUUGGAUUUCAUGUGAUUUUUAUGGAAUGGAACAAACUGCCAAGAAUCAUUGGGCUGGAUCAGAUCAAGGGAACCUGACUGAUCACAUCUCAUGGACUUCAUCAUGCACUUUUCUUUGUGGAUUGCCUCCUGCAAUAUGGGCAGCUCCAACAUUGAGGAGACAUACCUGCAUUUUCUUUCAGACGUGGUCUCCUCUCCAAUGAAAGGUAUGCCUCUUAAAAAGCGCUCAGUGCGUAGAGUACAUCAUUCUUAUUUGAAGACUUAGUCCCAGCUUUUGAUAAACUUUUCAUUUCCCUUAGAACAGACAGUAGUUGGU
Molecule: long non-coding RNA, 1154 nt
Organism: Columba livia (rock pigeon)
Lineage: Eukaryota; Metazoa; Chordata; Aves; Columbiformes; Columbidae
Exons: 3
Source: RefSeq, a predicted model, not a curated record